RNAcentral lists this ribosomal RNA (460 nucleotides) under uncultured bacterium. RNAcentral's name for it is "partial 16S ribosomal RNA". It matches the Rfam family "Bacterial small subunit ribosomal RNA", at positions 338 to 795 of the family's 1533-position model. The record is from RNAcentral.
CCUACGGGUGGCAGCAGUGAGGAAUAUUGGUCAAUGGACGAGAGUCUGAACCAGCCAAGUAGCGUGAAGGAUGACUGCCCUAUGGGUUGUAAACUUCUUUUAUAUGGGAAUAAAAUGUUCCACGUGUGGGAUUUUGUAUGUACCAUAUGAAUAAGGAUCGGCUAACUCCGUGCCAGCAGCCGCGGUAAUACGGAGGAUCCGAGCGUUAUCCGGAUUUAUUGGGUUUAAAGGGAGCGUAGGUGGAUUGUUAAGUCAGUUGUGAAAGUUUGCGGCUCAACCGUAAAAUUGCAGUUGAAACUGGCAGUCUUGAGUACAGUAGAGCUGGGCGGAAUUCGUGGUGUAGCGGUGAAAUGCUUAGAUAUCACGAAGAACUCCGAGUGCGAAGGCAGUUCACUGGACUGCAACUGACACUGAGGCUCGAAAGUGUGGGUAUCAAACAGGAGUAGAUACCCUAGUAGUC